GGGGAAUAUUGGACAAUGGGCGCAAGCCUGAUCCAGCCAUGCCGCGUGAGUGAUGAAGGCCCUAGGGUUGUAAAGCUCUUUUGUGCGGGAAGAUAAUGACGGUACCGCAAGAAUAAGCCCCGGCUAACUUCGUGCCAGCAGCCGCGGUAAUACGAAGGGGGCUAGCGUUGCUCGGAAUUACUGGGCGUAAAGGGUGCGUAGGCGGGUCUUUAAGUCAGGGGUGAAAUCCUGGAGCUCAACUCCAGAACUGCCUUUGAUACUGAGGAUCUUGAGUUCGGGAGAGGUGAGUGGAACUGCGAGUGUAGAGGUGAAAUUCGUAGAUAUUCGCAAGAACACCAGUGGCGAAGGCGGCUCACUGGCCCGAUACUGACGCUGAGGCACGAAAGCGUGGGGAGCAAAC
RNAcentral lists this ribosomal RNA (400 nucleotides) under uncultured bacterium. RNAcentral's name for it is "bacterial SSU rRNA". It matches the Rfam family "Bacterial small subunit ribosomal RNA", at positions 356 to 773 of the family's 1533-position model. The record is from RNAcentral.